UACGUAGGGAGCAAGCGUUGUCCGGAAUCAUUGGGCGUAAAGCGCGCGUAGGCGGCCCUGUAAGUCCGCUGUGAAAGUCAAAGGCUCAACCUUUGAAAGCCGGUGGAUACUGCAGGGCUAGAGUCCGGAAGAGGCGAGUGGAACUCCUGGUGUAGCGGUGGAAUGCGCAGAUAUCAGGAGGAACACCAAUGGCGAAGGCAGAUCUCUGGGCCGUAACUGACGCUGAGGAGCGAAAGCAUGGGGAGCGAACAGG
RNAcentral lists this ribosomal RNA (253 nucleotides) under uncultured bacterium. RNAcentral's name for it is "partial 16S ribosomal RNA". It matches the Rfam family "Bacterial small subunit ribosomal RNA", at positions 524 to 776 of the family's 1533-position model. The record is from RNAcentral.